AGAGUUUGAUUAUGGCUCAGUUGAACGCUGGCGGCAUGCCUUACACAUGCAAGUCGAACGGCAGCACGGGAGCAAUCCUGGUGGCGAGUGGCGAACGGGUGAGUAAUACAUCGGAACGUGCCCUGUAGUGGGGGAUAACUAGCCGAAAGACUAGCUAAUACCGCAUACGACCUGAGGGUGAAAGUGGGGGACCGCAAGGCCUCAUGCUAUAGGAGCGGCCGAUGUCUGAUUAGCUAGUUGGUGGGGUAAAGGCCUACCAAGGCGACGAUCAGUAGCUGGUCUGAGAGGACGAUCAGCCACACUGGGACUGAGACACGGCCCAGACUCCUACGGGAGGCAGCAGUGGGGAAUUUUGGACAAUGGGGGCAACCCUGAUCCAGCAAUGCCGCGUGUGUGAAGAAGGCCUUCGGGUUGUAAAGCACUUUUGUCCGGGAAGAAAUCGCACCUGAUAAUACCGGGUGUGGAUGACGGUACCGGAAGAAUAAGGACCGGCUAACUACGUGCCAGCAGCCGCGGUAAUACGUAGGGUCCAAGCGUUAAUCGGAAUUACUGGGCGUAAAGCGUGCGCAGGCGGUUGUGCAAGACCGAUGUGAAAUCCCCGGGCUUAACCUGGGAAUUGCAUUGGUGACUGCACGGCUAGAGUGUGUCAGAGGGGGGUAGAAUUCCACGUGUAGCAGUGAAAUGCGUAGAGAUGUGGAGGAAUACCGAUGGCGAAGGCAGCCCCCUGGGAUAACACUGACGCUCAUGCACGAAAGCGUGGGGAGCAAACAGGAUUAGAUACCCUGGUAGUCCACGCCCUAAACGAUGUCAACUAGUUGUUGGGGAUUCAUUUCCUUAGUAACGUAGCUAACGCGUGAAGUUGACCGCCUGGGGAGUACGGUCGCAAGAUUAAAACUCAAAUGAAUUGACGGGG
Molecule: ribosomal RNA, 913 nt
Filed under: uncultured beta proteobacterium
Lineage: Bacteria; Pseudomonadati; Pseudomonadota; Betaproteobacteria
Description: bacterial SSU rRNA
Rfam family: Bacterial small subunit ribosomal RNA
Source: RNAcentral